RNAcentral lists this ribosomal RNA (333 nucleotides) under Triticum aestivum (bread wheat). RNAcentral describes it as "partial small subunit ribosomal RNA". Lineage: Eukaryota; Viridiplantae; Streptophyta; Magnoliopsida; Poales; Poaceae. The record is from RNAcentral.
AUGGCACAGCGGAUCUCCUCGACGCCGUGCGACGCGUCCGGCUGCGAGGCGGCGCCGCUGCUGGACGUCGAGAAGGGCGUACCCAGGACAUCACACGGCACGGCGUCGCCGGCGGACGAUGGGGGCGUGGAAACGUCCGGCUGCCGGCGCUUUUUCCAGGGGUUCUUGGCCGUUGUGUGGCUGUUCAUGGUGAAUCAGAUGAGGAAAGAUUAUAGCGCCUGCGAUAAUGCCGAAACAAGACCGGUCAUGGCGCUUCUGAUGGUAGUGAUCGCCUUUACUGUUGCCAACGUGUUUCACUUGAUCAGCACACAGCCUGCGUAUCCUCCGGCAUAA